GAGUGGGGGAUAACGUAGCGAAAGUUACGCUAAUACCGCAUACGAUCUAAGGAUGAAAGUGGGGGAUCGCAAGACCUCAUGCUCGUGGAGCGGCCGAUAUCUGAUUAGCUAGUUGGUAGGGUAAAAGCCUACCAAGGCAUCGAUCAGUAGCUGGUCUGAGAGGACGACCAGCCACACUGGAACUGAGACACGGUCCAGACUCCUACGGGAGGCAGCAGUGGGGAAUUUUGGACAAUGGGCGAAAGCCUGAUCCAGCAAUGCCGCGUGAGUGAAGAAGGCCUUCGGGUUGUAAAGCUCUUUUGUCAGGGAAGAAACGGUGAGAGCUAAUAUCUCUUGCUAAUGACGGUACCUGAAGAAUAAGCACCGGCUAACUACGUGCCAGCAGCCGCGGUAAUACGUAGGGUGCAAGCGUUAAUCGGAAUUACUGGGCGUAAAGCGUGCGCAGGCGGUUUUGUAAGUCUGAUGUGAAAUCCCCGGGCUCAACCUGGGAAUUGCAUUGGAGACUGCAAGGCUAGAAUCUGGCAGAGGGGGGUAGAAUUCCACGUGUAGCAGUGAAAUGCGUAGAUAUGUGGAGGAACACCGAUGGCGAAGGCAGCCCCCUGGGUCAAGAUUGACGCUCAUGCACGAAAGCGUGGGGAGCAAACAGGAUUAGAUACCCUGGUAGUCCACGCCCUAAACGAUGUCUACUAGUUGUCGGGUCUUAAUUGACUUGGUAACGC
Molecule: ribosomal RNA, 719 nt
Filed under: Janthinobacterium sp.
Lineage: Bacteria; Pseudomonadati; Pseudomonadota; Betaproteobacteria; Burkholderiales; Oxalobacteraceae
Description: bacterial SSU rRNA
Rfam family: Bacterial small subunit ribosomal RNA
Source: RNAcentral